Molecule: small nucleolar RNA, 156 nt
Organism: Amaranthus tricolor (Joseph's coat)
Lineage: Eukaryota; Viridiplantae; Streptophyta; Magnoliopsida; Caryophyllales; Amaranthaceae
Product: small nucleolar RNA snoR137
Exons: 1
Source: RefSeq, a predicted model, not a curated record
GUUGCUUCAAAUGGUGAAUUCUCUCUAUGUCAAUGAGAGUUUUCAAGUUUCCCGAAGCAUAAAUCAAUUCUUUUCAACCAGUUUUAAACAGCUUGAUGAAUGGAUUAAUUUAAUUAAUCUAUACUUUCAUCGCGUUACCUGUCUGCUGGUACAUUU